GGAGCCUCUGCAGAGCUUAUCUUUUGUUCUGAUGAAGUGGUCCUGAAAACACUGACAAGGUCUCUCGAAGAGCCGCGACGGUUAGUUCAGAGGUAAGACGAAGAUGGAGCACGAUGUCUUAGGAAAGGUGCUGGUUCGAGAUGCUACAAGUGAACUAAAAGAGCCAACAGCUUGGCAUAGGUAGAAAAAGCAAACUCAAAACGGAAACUCGGGGACUCUGAACGCGGAUCCUGAGGGGCCUGCCUGCACCGGCCCAACGCCUGCGUUAACCCUUUAGGCGCUGCAACAGGGAUCCCCGGAGUCUACAGGCCGACUAGCAGGAACAGAGGAGUGCUCGCUCGCCGAGUCCACCCGCCCACCUCCGGGGCUCUGGAGGGCCGCAGGCCUGGGGAUGGCUCGGGCGGGGCCCCAGGUGAAGGGCGCCCGAGUUCGUCUGAGGCAGUCAUCGCUCUCCAGCCUCCACAGUCGCGGGAGCAG
Molecule: long non-coding RNA, 477 nt
Organism: Camelus dromedarius (Arabian camel)
Lineage: Eukaryota; Metazoa; Chordata; Mammalia; Artiodactyla; Camelidae
Exons: 3
Source: RefSeq, a predicted model, not a curated record